GUUUUCUGGCUUUCUAUCUAAUCUUUGUUCGAAGAGGAGGAUGUUAAUUCAACUGCGUCAACUCUAGGAGUAGAUGAACGGCCCGAAGAAAUUGUUGUAGUGGGGAAUGCUUUCUAUGGAGGGACAGCAGGAGUAUUAUUGGAUGGGAGUAUAUUUUCCUGUGGGUUACUUUGGAACAGGCAAGAAAUGUUACUUUGAAACAUCAAUUUGGAAGCUCCACAGUUAAAAUUUGCAUAUUUGUCUUUUCUCUCCCCAUUUCCAUCGUCAGCCGCUGUACCUCACUUUCACGCUGGCUGGAGCAGAAAUUGAUCCACCUCCGCCGCAUAUCUUCCUCUGUUUCGGUGUCAAAAUUCUCUCUGUACACCACUGCACUGCCACCACAACCAACUUAGUGUAUGGAGUGAGAUGAAACUCUUGGCUUUAACCUCAGACUUCAAUUUUUGAGCCGAUUUCGAAAGAUAUCGUGAUUUCAAUCGGCCUUUGACGGUAAAGCCACCAGCCACGAUUACUCUUGAUAAAGGAGGUGGUGGAGAGGUAGAGGGAUUCGCUAUUCAGUACGAAACGCCAAUUGAUGGUUUCCCAAAAGCAAAAGUUUGUUCCGUUCUAGUUCGGUAACAUGACAUCAGACCAAAAGCGUGGUAGGGAGAGAACCAUCUGCGGCUGCCGGUGGAGGUAGUGGCAAUGGUAAGGAGAGUAUUUCAGAACGAGGUAGAAAAAGAAGCGUGUAGUAGAAGACUCAUCGUUGUUUUCACCGGCAUCCACAUCUAACAAGAGAGGUGGUGGCCAUGAGAUGCAGUGAGGAUUGCGACCGUUUUUAGAGAGAAAUCUGCAGAGUAAUUAGACAAGUCAGAAAAUAAACGUGUAUGGAAAGUGUAACUUCUGCAACUUUCUCUUAGCUGGCAUUACGCUAUUGGUCCAGCUAAUAAGUGCGGACAUAAAUGGGAACAAUAGGGCAGGCUGGAAACACCUUUAAAAAAGGUAUGGGGGCCCACUGAUAUAUAAAAUCGGCCCUUUCCCGAAACAGGCAAUCCAAUGCAUAAUUCCAUUCCGAAGAGAUCCAAAUCUCUAUCGGCUUUCUAUUUUCCGUUUCUGAGCGGCACAGGUUACGUAAAGACACCAUAAUAAUAACCUUCUUUUUUUAUAAAAGAUUUUUUUUUACGUAAAAAUAUUUUUUUUAACAAAAUUGUGAAAUUGGUUUGAUUCGAAGUCGCAAUGAAGGAUGAUGAUUCUCUCCCAACAUCCACUGCGGCGGCGACGAUGACGGCAAUGGCGACCAAUGCCAAAAAGGAAAGCUCCGAUUCUAAUCUAUUUGGGAAAGGCCGAUAUAAGUUCUGGGCUUUAGCUGCCAUUUUGCUUUUGGCAUUUUGGUCAAUGUUCACCGGAACUGUCACUCUCCGUUGGUCCGCCGGCAAUCUCAAUAGUCUAUCCGAUGACCUUGACGCUCCCAUCCAUGACGAUCUCGACGUACUCGAAAUGGAAGAAAGGGAGAAGGUGGUGAAGCAUAUGUGGGAUGUAUACACCAAUAGCCGUCGGAUCAGAUUGCCACGAUUUUGGCAGGAGGCCUUUGAGGCUGCUUAUGAGGAGUUGACUAGCGAUGUCCCUGGGAUUAGAGACGCUGCAAUCUCUGAGAUUGCCAAGAUGUCUGUCCGCUCCGUUGUUCUUGAUCCGCCUCCUUUUCAAUCAACGAAGGUGUAGGUUUGUCUUCCUCAACCAUUUUAGUGGUGGAGCAUAUCUGAAUUCGAAUGUAAAUUGAUGCUUUGGCUCCAAAAAAUUUGACAGACUCGUCAACCUGUCCAAGAGCUGAUUGCUUUGCUUGUCCCAACCAGAAGUUUUUACCUACUCAGCUGAGGCAUUGCAUCCUUUGUUAAGUAUUUGUACCAUAUUAUAUUCUCAUCCAGCCCUAUAUGUUUUGUGAUCUCUAAUUCUCUAACUAUUUAUCCUUUUGGAGGUCUUGAAAAGUGUGUUUAAAUUAUACAAUCAUGGUUUUUUGGUGUGGAUUGUUUUGUAUGUAUGAUUUCAUUGCUAGUAUCAUACAGAAGAUUUUUUGUCAGAAUGAACUCUGUUUCCUCAGAUGAAGCAAUUAGUUCACUCGUAAGAUUUUGAUAAUGAAGCUAGAUGUAAGGUUAAAGAACAUUAAUAGUGAGGAAAUCUCCUUGGGCCUCACAAAACUUAAGUUGACUACACUGUAGAUCUAACUAUUUGGGUUUGGUUGCAUGGAUGCUUUUCUUUCAUUCUGUCUGUCUAGAUCGUAUUCUUCAAAUAUUUAGAAACUAAAUCCCUUCAUGAAUUGUAAGUUGCUAUUAUACUUCUAUUUUUUAUGUACUAUGUAAUGGAGUUUUGUCCUGUGUUAUCAACUUUAUGCUUACCCUUCUUUUUUAAAGCCCCAGCUGGCAUCUCUCUUUCUGUUAAUGUUUAGGGUUUAGAACCUUUAUUUCAAGUUCCUCAACAUAUCCUAAACUCUCGCUAGCCUUCAACUUUUCACGACCAUCUCUGCUUGGGACUAAUUAUUGACAUUUAGGCACAGUGCCGGCAGAGUUUUGUGUGGGAUAGCAAAAGGCUUUCGUACUUGUAUUUUUGCAUAAUGAACAAGUAAUUUUUGCUGCUGCUGCAUUUCUUUUACCCAAUUAAUUGAAGAUAGAGAGAGAUUAAAUAUACCUUGACCCUGUAUUUUUCUUAUCUAUACUCUCAGAGUGCACAAGAAUUAAGUAAGAGUCUGAAGUUAGGAGGGAAAGGUGGGGCUACUGCAAUUUCAAAGAGGAGUGAUAGAUGAUGUGAAGAGAAUCAAGAAGUAUGGGCUUCAUUGCGCAUACGCUGUUUCAUAACUGGGACAAUUAUAUACUUAAUUAGGUUCUUAUUCUUCCAAGGCUUUGCUGUCACAAUCUUGUCUUAUGGGUGGAUCUGAAAAAAAACCUUUUUUCGGUAGAUGAAUUCAGUGAGAAAUUUUGAUCUUUCUUACAUAAAUUGAAGUGAAAGAAUUACUUUGAAAUCUUGGGCGUUUGAUUGCUUAAAUUCAACGUUUUCAUUGUAGCUUUUCAAAAAAGUGAUCUUAACUUUAUCAUGUUUUGGUUAUAAUUUUAAUUUUCUUUGAACCGUGUAAUUCUUAUGUUCAGUUAGAUUAUGAGAAAGUAAAAUAAGGUG
RNAcentral lists this unclassified non-coding RNA (3138 nucleotides) under Hevea brasiliensis (rubber tree). Lineage: Eukaryota; Viridiplantae; Streptophyta; Magnoliopsida; Malpighiales; Euphorbiaceae. The record is from RNAcentral.